This 497-nucleotide ribosomal RNA is filed under the name uncultured bacterium. RNAcentral's name for it is "partial 16S ribosomal RNA". It matches the Rfam family "Bacterial small subunit ribosomal RNA", at positions 28 to 507 of the family's 1533-position model. The record is from RNAcentral.
GAUGAACGCUGGCGGCGUGCCUAAUACAUGCAAGUCGAGCGAACAGACGAGGAGCUUGCUCCUUCGACGUUAGCGGCGGACGGGUGAGUAACACGUAGGUAACCUACCUAUAAGACUGGGAUAACUUCGGGAAACCGGAGCUAAUACCGGAUAAUAUAUUGAACCGCAUGGUUCGAUAGUGAAAGAUGGCUUUGCUGUCACUUAUAGAUGGAUCUGCGCCGUAUUAGCUAGUUGGUAAGGUAACGGCUUACCAAGGCAACGAUACGUAGCCGACCUGAGAGGGUGAUCGGCCACACUGGAACUGAGACACGGUCCAGACUCCUACGGGAGGCAGCAGUAGGGAAUCUUCCGCAAUGGGCGAAAGCCUGACGGAGCAACGCCGCGUGAGUGAUGAAGGUCUUCGGAUCGUAAAACUCUGUUAUUAGGGAAGAACAAACGUGUAAGUAACUGUGCACGUCUUGACGGUACCUAAUCAGAAAGCCACGGCUAACUACGUG